UGGCCAAACCAGAUGCCAGAUACUAGGGAAAUCAUUGUCUUCUCUUCGUGCCAUGCUCGGGCAGAGCCUGCUGACCAGCAAUGCCUGGAGUUAGGGGCUGGACACAGCAGCACACAAUAACAUGAAGGCUUCUUGUGAGGACCUCAAAGCACUUUACAAAGGGGAGCAAAUAACCUCCUUUUACAGAGCAGGGGAACUAAGGCUCAGAGCGGUGAUGACUUCCCCAGGGUCACACAGUGAAUCAGCUGGAGAACCUGAAAUAGACGCUCGUCCCGCUGGCUUCCAGUCCUACAUUUCUUCCCACUGGACCACACUGGAGUGCCUAGCCAGUGAUGCUUCUCUAGAUCAGUGUUUCAGAGGAAGUGCUUCUACAAACAGUAGAUUGACUUAAUUGGAGGACGAAGGGGGAGUGGAUUCUGGCUAGACCCCGGAGAGAGGACUAGUUGGACCUGAUUUCUUAUUAUAAAGGGAGUUGGUCGUGAUCCUUAUAUUUAGCUUGCCUAACACUUUCCCUGGUCAAAGGCCCUUGCCUGUCAUUUGAGAAACUCUCAUGCUUCAUGUGUCUGCAGCAGAGUGCUGAAAUUCAACAGGGACCAUCCUGGGGCUGGAGAAGUGUCUUUUCUGUGUCCCAUGAAAUUCCAGUCAGGACCUAGAAGAGCUGCUGUUGUUAAAACAAAGGAUUCUGGCUUUGGCCGCUGGAGGGUACCACAUGUUGCCAAAGCCAGCCAAGAAUCUGUGCUCUUGUGUUAUGGUAGGACUCGGCCGUUGCCCGGUUUCGGUUGUAGCGGGUGGCGUGGUUUUGGCGGAGCCCAGGGGACUGUCCAUUGUCCCGCUGGAAGCCACAGGGACCUGGUGGUUGCUGCUGGGAGGGCGCAGGGUGAGGAUUACAGCUCAGCAUUGUGACGGGUCAGAACGGGAGACGUCCUGUGGUUGGGUGAGCGUUUGGGGGACCAGACGGGGGCCCCGACACAAGAAGGCAGCGAUCCUGCUGGAGGGAAGGAAAUGGCUGUGAUGGAAGCAAGCGCUGACUAAGGCUGAAUGACCUGGGGGCAGUGGGAACAGGACAUGGUGCCAGCCCGCUGUGAUCUGUUGCUUUAUCCCAUUCUUGGUUUAAAUAGUGUAAAAAUCAGGCAGUCCCCUCACUGGCUACCUGCCAGUCCUGUGAUGGGCUGCACUGAAGGAGACGGGCUGCAAGCAGCUCCCCCUCUCUCAGCAAGCAGAAAUCCAACUCCAGAGUUUCUGACCGAGUGUUCCUGAGCCUGGCUGGCAGGAAUUCCUGCAUCUGCCUCCGUCCAGCACAGCUGCAGCGCCAGGAUGUGGCCUAGGAGCUGCUGGCAGGUGUGGUAGCUGACUAGGCUGGUACCAGAUGGCGUCCGGGUGUCUCGGGUGGAUAGCAGCCAGCCCAGCAGCUCCCAUAUGCCGCGGUGAUACAGCAGAUAAUAAUCCCAAAUCCUUUUAUCUGGUGAAUUUGAAAUCCUGCAUUGUGAGCAAACUGCCCCCAAGGGACCUUCACCCUCCCAGGGCUUGUGCGCAGAACGGAAGAGGCAGGUUUUAAGUGUGGUCUGAAAAGUGACUGCAUGAAAAAAUGGCCACCUCUUAGUCUGCAGAUCGGCCCCUGUGGGAAUUCAGCAUCCUGGCUGCUGACUCCUGCGACAGACUUAAGCCGUGUUGUGUCUUUUUUGCCAUCCUAGCCCCAUAGUUGUCCCAGCAAGGAGCUGGGUUCUAGUUCACCCUACGCAGCACGCACAGAAUCGGGCGCUAAAUUGCAGCUGGUGACAUCUGUGCACCCCUGGUGAAGACUUAAGGGACUGUGGGGUGAUACCAAGGGCCUAAUGCAACAUGCUGAACGCGGGGCUCUUUGGUCGCGAUGCAAAAGAUGGAAAGAACCCAGCUGAAUCCCAGGUGCAGGGGCCAUGUUCUGGGUUUGUUGAAAACAAACUCGUCUCUUUACUUGUGAAAUGAGCGGAAUGGGUACAGACAUCAUUGAACCAGGGCCCUCGCAAAGGUAUUUUCCGUAAUGAUUUUCUGAGCAGGCUUUUCCCUCUUCUGUCAACAUUUUAAUCCCAUCAAUGUCCAGGCAACUUCUGGCAAGGAUGGGUCUGGUUUGGCUUCCAUGGGGAAUCCCCAAGGUACAUUUGCAGGUCUCAGGUUGUUUUUUUUUGUUUGUUAUGAUCUGCAUGAGAAUCUCAGAAACAAGGGCUCAGAGGAGCAGCCUAACCUUGAUCGGACUUCCUUCCUUCCUUCCUUCCCGCUUUGGAAAGAACUAAAGCCCUGAAAUGUAUCAGAGCAGACGCCAUAGCACAGCAAGCAUGGAGCCCGUUCAGCUCACCACAGCAAUUAUGACCACUGUAAACGCCUCGCGCAUUAUCGUGCAGUUUAUGCAGAACCAGCACCUGAAAAACCAGGUGAGGAGGCGACGGCAGCGCGGUUAUGAGGACAUGAACACACUUUUCUCUAAAACCGCGUUCCCCCU
Molecule: long non-coding RNA, 2473 nt
Organism: Chelonia mydas (Green sea turtle)
Lineage: Eukaryota; Metazoa; Chordata; Testudines; Cheloniidae
Exons: 3
Source: RefSeq, a predicted model, not a curated record